AGCUUGCUCCCUGAUGUUAGCGGCGGACGGGUGAGUAACACGUGGGUAACCUGCCUGUAAGACUGGGAUAACUCCGGGAAACCGGGGCUAAUACCGGAUGGUUGUCUGAACCGCAUGGUUCAGACAUAAAAGGUGGCUUCGGCUACCACUUACAGAUGGACCCGCGGCGCAUUAGCUAGUUGGUGAGGUAACGGCUCACCAAGGCGACGAUGCGUAGCCGACCUGAGAGGGUGAUCGGCCACACUGGGACUGAGACACGGCCCAGACUCCUACGGGAGGCAGCAGUAGGGAAUCUUCCGCAAUGGACGAAAGUCUGACGGAGCAACGCCGCGUGAGUGAUGAAGGUUUUCGGAUCGUAAAGCUCUGUUGUUAGGGAAGAACAAGUGCCGUUCAAAUAGGGCGGCACCUUGACGGUACCUAACCAGAAAGCCACGGCUAACUACGUGCCAGCAGCCGCGGUAAUACGUAGGUGGCAAGCGUUGUCCGGAAUUAUUGGGCGUAAAGGGCUCGCAGGCGGUUUCUUAAGUCUGAUGUGAAAGCCCCCGGCUCACCCGGGGAGGGUCAUUGGAAACUGGGGAACUUGAGUGCAGAAGAGGAGAGUGGAAUUCCACGUGUAGCGGUGAAAUGCGUAGAGAUGUGGAGGAACACCGUGGGCGAAGGCGACUCUCUGGUCUGUAACUGACGCUGAGGAGCGAAAGCGUGGGGAGCGAACAGGAUUAGAUACCCUGGUAGUCCACGCCGAAAACGAUGAGGGUAAGUGGGUAAGGGGGUUUCCGCCCCUUAGUGCUGCAGCUAACGCAUUAAGCACUCCGCCUGGGGGAGUACGGUCGCAAGACUGAAACUCAAGGGAAAUUGACGGGGGCCCGCACAA
This 871-nucleotide ribosomal RNA is filed under the name Bacillus siamensis. RNAcentral describes it as "bacterial SSU rRNA". It matches the Rfam family "Bacterial small subunit ribosomal RNA", at positions 77 to 928 of the family's 1533-position model. Lineage: Bacteria; Bacillati; Bacillota; Bacilli; Caryophanales; Bacillaceae. The record is from RNAcentral.